This 316-nucleotide long non-coding RNA is filed under the name Setaria italica (foxtail millet). RNAcentral's name for it is "long non-coding RNA (SITA_LNC005358)". The record is from RNAcentral. Lineage: Eukaryota; Viridiplantae; Streptophyta; Magnoliopsida; Poales; Poaceae.
ACGCAUACGCCAACAACCCAAGAUAGGGUGAGGCGCUUCUGCCUUCCAUAGCACCUCUGAGAUUGCACAUGGUCAUCAAAGCCAUCACAAUCUAGAUUCCAUUUAUGGCGUCUAAUUCUUCCACCUCCAAUCCCCUCUCCGGCGUUCAGGUCUCGGAGAAGCUCAUCAGGCAGAAUCAUGCCAUGUGGGCAGCGCUGAUCCUCGCUGCCAUACGUGGUGCGAGGCUUGAAGGGCACAUCAACGGGAAGUACAUCGCCCCUGCAGCCGAGGUGGACGAGAAGCAAGACGACAAGACAGUGCAAGUCACCAAUCUAGC